AAGCUCGUAGUUGAAUUUCGGAAUUUGUCGGUUGGUCGGGCUUCACUGUCCGCACUGGCCUGAUGAAUUCCUACCUUCUGAAUAACCAGCAUGCUAUUAAUUUAGUGCGUUGGGGAAGCAGAGCUAUUACCUUGAAAAAAUUGAGUGCUUAAAGCAGGCUCACGCUUGAAUAGAUUAGCAUGGAAUAAUAAAAUAGGACGGCUUUGGUUUUAUUUUGUUGGUUUCUAGGACAACCGUAAUGAUUAAUAGGGAUAGUUGGG
This 260-nucleotide ribosomal RNA is filed under the name uncultured Acaulospora. Its description in RNAcentral is "partial 18S ribosomal RNA". It matches the Rfam family "Eukaryotic small subunit ribosomal RNA", at positions 624 to 886 of the family's 1831-position model. Lineage: Eukaryota; Fungi; Glomeromycota; Glomeromycetes; Diversisporales; Acaulosporaceae. The record is from RNAcentral.